RNAcentral lists this ribosomal RNA (466 nucleotides) under uncultured bacterium. RNAcentral describes it as "bacterial SSU rRNA". It matches the Rfam family "Bacterial small subunit ribosomal RNA", at positions 28 to 507 of the family's 1533-position model. The record is from RNAcentral.
GACGAACGCUGGCGGCGCGCCUAACACAUGCAAGUCGAACGAGAGAUGAGGAGCUUGCUCUUCAGAUCGAGUGGCGAACGGGUGAGUAACGCGUGAGGAACCUGCCUCAAAGAGGGGGACAACAGUUGGAACGACUGCUAAUACCGCAUAACAUUGCCGAACGGCAUCGUUUGGCAAUCAAAGGAGCAAUCCGCUGAAAGAUGGGCUCGCGUCUGAUUAGAUAGUUGGUGAGGUAACGGCUCACCAAGUCGACGAUCAGUAGCCGGACUGAGAGGUUGAUCGGCCACAUUGGGACUGAGACACGGCCCAGACUCCUACGGGAGGCAGCAGUGGGGGGAUAUUGGACAAUGGGGGAAACCCUGAUCCAGCGAUGCCGCGUGAGGGAAGAAGGUUUUCGGAUUGUAAACCUCUGUGGACAGGGACGAUAAUGACGGUACCUGUUUAGAAAGCCACGGCUAACUACGUG